GGUGUAAAUAUAGUUUCCAUUCAUUUCAUUUUUUUUUUCAAAAAUGCCUUAAAAAUACAAUAAGUCCCAAUGGCAUUUUCGUAGUAGCACAGUAAGAUUAUGGGCUUAUUCGUACUUCGAACUCUUAUAAAAGUAUACAGAGAAACUCCUUGCUAUAUUAGUACACUGAUAACAAGCAAAAUAAUUUCCAAAAAAGGAAGAAAAAAAUGAUGAAGAAAACAGUGGUUGCGGUUAUGAUUAUGUUCUUGGUGUUUUCUUACUCUGAACGAGUAGCAGCCGACGCAUUCGAUUGUCUCGACGGUUGCAUAACUGGCUGCGUUUCUCAACAUUUCCGCGACAGUAAGUUCUACUCUCCUACAUAGCCAUAUUGGCUAGAUUGGGGGUCCGCUGUGACAGGAAGUGUGAGAUAAGAUGCGGUCCAGAUUCUACAAUUAAAGAGGAUGUUAAUGCAGCCACAAAAGGGUAAAGAGCACCUAGUAAUGUGAAGGAGGUGCAUCAUCACCAUCAUCAAGCUCAUGAAUAAACAAUAAUGACUAUAGAUGAGCUUGGCCAGUUGUGUAUAAGCCCUACUCCUUAAAAAUAGUGUUCUCUACUGAUUGAUAAGGUACAAGUAUUUGUAUGGUAGCCUCAAAACCAAGACUCACAAGUUUGGUGAAGCUUGAAUUAAUUUGAUAUGCCUUGCUUGAA
RNA transcript from Humulus lupulus (European hop), 687 nucleotides. RefSeq lists it as uncharacterized. The transcript is spliced from 3 exons. NCBI's taxonomy places the organism in Eukaryota, Viridiplantae, Streptophyta, Magnoliopsida, Rosales, Cannabaceae. The record is from RefSeq and is a predicted model, not a curated record.